This 481-nucleotide ribosomal RNA is filed under the name uncultured bacterium. Its description in RNAcentral is "bacterial SSU rRNA". It matches the Rfam family "Bacterial small subunit ribosomal RNA", at positions 29 to 524 of the family's 1533-position model. The record is from RNAcentral.
AACAAACGCUGGCGGCGUGCCUAAUACAUGCAAGUCGAACGGGGAAAGUAGCAAUACGAGUACUAGUGGCGCACGGGUGAGGAAUACAUGGGUAAUCUGCCCUCGAGCUCGGGAUAACCAGUCGAAAGACUGGCUAAUACCGGAUAUGACCACAAGAUCUGAGGAUCAAGGGGUAAAAGGUUUUUCGCUUGAGGAUGAGCCCAUGUGGGAUUAGCUAGUUGGUGUAGGUAACGGCUCACCAAGGCGACGAUCCCUAACUGGUCUUAGAGGAUGAUCAGUCACACUAGAACUGAGACACGGUCCAGACUCCUACGGGAGGCAGCAGUAGGGAAUAUUGCACAAUGGAGGAAACUCUGAUGCAGCGACGCCGCGUGAGUGAUGAAGGCCUUCGGGUCGUAAAGCUCUGUCGUAUGGGACUAACAAAAUGAAGGUACCAUGCAAGAAAGGAAUCGGCUAACUUCGUGCCAGCAGCCGCGGUAAU